CUUGAAACCCAAAGGACUUGACGGUGCCCCACCCCCCCCUAGAGGAGCCUGUUCUAUAAUCGAUGAUCCCCGCUACACCUCACCACUACUUGUAUUUUUCAGCCUGUAUACCGCCGUCGUAAGCUUACCAUAUGAACGCCCCCCCCCCACCAUGUCAGGUCAAGGUGCAGCCCACGUAGUGGAAAGUAAUGGGCUACAAUUUCUAUCCUAGAACAUACGAAAGGUUGCAUGAAAAACAGCCACGAAGGCGGAUUUAGUAGUAAGAGGGGAACAUAGAGCCCCUCUAAACCCGGCACUGGGUCGCGUACACACCGCCCGUCACCCUCUUCAACAGCCCCCCCCCAUACCUAAUCCAAUAUUGCAUUCAAGAAGAGGCAAGUCGUAACAUGGUAAGUGUACUGGAAAGUGCACUUAGAAUAA
Molecule: ribosomal RNA, 420 nt
Filed under: Liurana xizangensis (Xizang papillae-tongued frog)
Lineage: Eukaryota; Metazoa; Chordata; Amphibia; Anura; Ceratobatrachidae
Description: partial 12S ribosomal RNA
Rfam family: Bacterial small subunit ribosomal RNA
Source: RNAcentral